CCUACGGGAUGCAGCAGUGGGGAAUAUUGCACAAUGGGCGCAAGCCUGAUGCAGCCAUGCCGCGUGUAUGAAGAAGGCCUUCGGGUUGUAAAGCACUUUCAGCGGGGAGGAAGGCGAUAAGGUUAAUAACCUUGGUGAUUGACGUUACUCGCAGAAGAAGCACCGGCUAACUCCGUGCCAGCAGCCGCGGUAAUACGGAGGGUGCAAGCGUUAAUCGGAAUUACUGGGCGUAAGCGCACGCAGGCGGUCUGUCAAGUCGGAUGUGAAAUCCCCGGGCUCAACCUGGGAACUGCAUUCGAAACUGGCAGGCUAGAGUCUUGUAGAGGGGGGUAGAAUUCCAGGUGUAGCGGUGAAAUGCGUAGAGAUCUGGAGGAAUACCGGUGGCGAAGGCGGCCCCCUGGACAAAGACUGACGCUCAGGUGCGAAAGCGUGGGGAGCAAACAGGAUUAGAUACCCGCGUAGUC
RNAcentral lists this ribosomal RNA (464 nucleotides) under uncultured bacterium. RNAcentral describes it as "bacterial SSU rRNA". It matches the Rfam family "Bacterial small subunit ribosomal RNA", at positions 338 to 795 of the family's 1533-position model. The record is from RNAcentral.